This 76-nucleotide transfer RNA is filed under the name Paracoccaceae bacterium. RNAcentral describes it as "Rhodobacteraceae bacterium (oil production facility metagenome) tRNA-Lys". It matches the Rfam family "tRNA". Rfam says of the family: Transfer RNA (tRNA) molecules are approximately 80 nucleotides in length. RNAcentral also lists the same sequence under 4 other names. The record is from RNAcentral. Lineage: Bacteria; Pseudomonadati; Pseudomonadota; Alphaproteobacteria; Rhodobacterales; Paracoccaceae.
GGGCCGUUAGCUCAGUUGGUAGAGCAGCUGACUCUUAAUCAGCGGGUCGCAGGUUCGAAUCCUGCACGGCCCACCA